RNAcentral lists this ribosomal RNA (258 nucleotides) under Gambierdiscus australes. Its description in RNAcentral is "partial small subunit ribosomal RNA". It matches the Rfam family "Eukaryotic small subunit ribosomal RNA", at positions 68 to 330 of the family's 1831-position model. Lineage: Eukaryota; Dinophyceae; Gonyaulacales; Pyrocystaceae. The record is from RNAcentral.
AGCAGCUCCAUAGCAACACUGUGCAUGGCUCAUUAAAACAGCCACAACCUGGGUCGUGGUCCUGCUACAUGGAUAUCUUCGGCAAUUCUGCAGCUAAUACAUGCACCAGCAUUCACCUGUGGUGAGUUGUGGUUGUUGCAUUCAGAAUUAAUGCAAGCUGUGCUUGAUGACCAGAUGAAUCAUUACAACUGCAUGGAUUGUAGUUUGUACACUGUUGAUGCUCUAUCAAGGUUUCUGACCUAUCAGCUUCCGAUGGCA